RNAcentral lists this ribosomal RNA (599 nucleotides) under Laemonema barbatulum (shortbeard codling). Its description in RNAcentral is "partial 12S ribosomal RNA". It matches the Rfam family "Bacterial small subunit ribosomal RNA", at positions 556 to 1439 of the family's 1533-position model. Lineage: Eukaryota; Metazoa; Chordata; Actinopteri; Gadiformes; Moridae. The record is from RNAcentral.
CGGCGUAAAGCGUGGUUAAGAAAAUUAAAUUAAUAGAGUUGAAUGGCCUCAAUUCAGUUAAAUGCACUCGAAGCCAUGAAGCACAAUUACGAAAGUAGCUCUACCAAAAUCCCUGACUCCACGAAAGCCAUAGAACAAACUGGGAUUAGAUACCCCACUAUGUAUGGUUGUAAACAUUGAUGGCAAUUUACCAAGCCAUCCGCCUGGGAAUUACGAGCAAAAGUUUGAAACCCAAAGGACUUGGCGGUGCUUUAAACCCCCCUAGAGGAGCCUGUUCUAGAACUGAUAAUCCCCGUUUAACCUCACCAUCCCUUGUUUAGUCCGCCUAUAUACCGCCGUCGUCAGCUUACCCUGUGAAGGUUUAAUAGUAAGCACAAAUGGCAUAGCCAAGAACGUCAGGUCGAGGUGUAGCGAAUGAGAUGGGAAGAAAUGGGCUACAUUCUCUGUCGCAGAGUAAACGAAUGAUAGCUUUGAAAAAAGCACCUGAAGGAGGAUUUAGUAGUAAGUUAGGGAGCAGAGAGCCCUACUGAAAAUGGCACUGAAGCACGCACACACCGCCCGUCACUCUCUCCGAGUACUUAUUCAAUAGUUACCUAAAA